Molecule: small RNA, 1891 nt
Filed under: Pan troglodytes (chimpanzee)
Lineage: Eukaryota; Metazoa; Chordata; Mammalia; Primates; Hominidae
Description: processed transcript
Source: RNAcentral
GCAACCUGCCCAGAUGUUCAGCUCGCCCAAAGGCUGCCUCCUUGGAGAGAUUAUUUCAUUCAAUAUUUUUUAUGAAUUAUUUACCAUUUGUACUUCAAUAGUAGCAGAAGACAAAAAAGGUCAUCUAAUACAUGGGAGAAACAUGGAUUUUGGAGUGUUUCUUGGGUGGAACAUAAAUAAUGAUACCUGGGUCAUAACUGAGCAACUAAAACCUUUAACAGUGAAUUUGGACUUCCAAAGAAACAACAAAACUGUCUUCAAGGCUUCAAGCUUUGCUGGCUAUGUGGGCAUGUUAACAGGAUUCAAACCAGGACUGUUCAGUCUUUCACUGAAUGAACGUUUCAGUAUAAAUGGUGGUUAUCUGGGUAUUCUAGAAUGGAUUCUGGGAAAGAAAGAUGCCAUGUGGAUAGGGUUCCUCACUAGAACAGUUCUGGAAAAUAGCACAAGUUAUGAAGAAGCCAAGAAUUUAUUGACCAAGACCAAGAUAUUGGCCCCAGCCUACUUUAUCCUGGGAGGCAACCAGUCUGGGGAAGGUUGUGUGAUUACACGAGACAGAAAGGAAUCAUUGGAUGUAUAUGAACUCGAUGCUAAGCAGGGUAGAUGGUAUGUGGUACAAACAAAUUAUGACCGUUGGAAACAUCCCUUCUUCCUUGAUGAUCGCAGAACGCCUGCAAAGAUGUGUCUGAACCGCACCAGCCAAGAGAAUAUCUCAUUUGAAACCAUGUAUGAUGUCCUGUCAACAAAACCUGUCCUCAACAAGCUGACCGUAUACACAACCUUGAUAGAUGUUACCAAAGGUCAAUUCGAAACUUACCUGCGGGACUGCCCUGACCCUUGUAUAGGUUGGUGAGCACACGUCUGGCCUACAGAAUGCGGCCUCUGAGACAUGAAGACACCAUCUCCAUGUGACCGAACACUGCAGCUGUCUGACCUUCCAAAGACUAAGACUCGCGGCAGGUUCUCUUUGAGUCAAAAGCUUGUCUUCGUCCAUCUGUUGACAAAUGACAGACCUUUUUUUUUUCCCCCUAUCAGUUGAUUUUUCUUAUUUACAGAUAACUUCUUUAGGGGAAGUAAAACAGUCAUCUAGAAUUCAUUGAGUUUUGUUUCACUUUGACAUUUGGGGAUCUGGUGGGCAGUCGAACCAUGGUGAACUCCACCUCCGUGGAAUAAAUGGAGAUUCAGCGUGGGUGUUGAAUCCAGCACGUCUGUAUGAGUAACGGGACAGUAAACACUCCACAUUCUUCAGUUUUUCACUUCUACCUACAUAUUUGUAUGUUUUUCUGUAUAACAGCCUUUUCCUUCUGGUUCUAACUGCUCUUAAAAUUAAUAUAUCAUUAUCUUUGCUGUUAUUGACAGUGAUAUAAUUUUAUUACAUAUGAUUAGAGGGAUGAGACAGACAUUCACCUGUAUAUUUCUUUUAAUGGGCACAAAAUGGGCCCUUGCCUCUAAAUAGCACGUUUUGGGGUUCAAGAAGUAAUCAGUAUGCAAAGCAAUCUUUUAUACAAUAAUUGAAGUGUUCCCUUUUUCAUAAUUACUCUACUUCCCAGUAACCCUAAGGAAGUUGCUAACUUAAAAAACCGCAUCCCAGGUUCUGUUAAUUUAGUAAAUAAACAAGUCAAAGACUUGUGGAAAAUAGGAAGUGAACCCAUAUUUUAAAUUCUCAUAAGUAGCAUUCAUGUAAUAAACAGGUUUUUAGUUUGUUCUUCAGAUUGAUAGAUAGUUUUAAAGAAAUUUUAGUAGUUACUAAAAUUAUGUUACUUUAUUUUUCAGAAAUCAAACUGCUUAUGAAAAGUACUAAUAGAACUUGUUAACCUUUCUAACCUUCACGAUUAACUGUGAAAUGUACGUCAUUUGUGCAAGACCGUUUGUCCACUUCAUUUUGUAUAAUCAC